GGCUCUGUGGCGCAAUGGAUAGCGCAUUGGACUUCUAGUUGAUACAAGAUAUUCAAAGGUUGUGGGUUCGAGUCCCACCAGAGUCG
This is a non-coding RNA of Xenopus tropicalis (tropical clawed frog), 86 nucleotides long. Lineage: Eukaryota; Metazoa; Chordata; Amphibia; Anura; Pipidae. The record is from Rfam.